UACAGAGGUGGCAAGCGUUGUUCGGAAUUACUGGGCGUAAAGGGCGCGUAGGCGGUCUUGUAAGUCUCGUGUGAAAUCCCUCGGCUUAACUGAGGAACUGCACGGGAUACUGCUUGACUUGAGUUCGGGGGAGGGAAGCGGAAUUCCGGGUGUAGCGGUGAAAUGCGUAGAUAUCCGGAGGAACACCGGUGGCGAAGGCGGCUUCCUGGACCGACACUGACGCUGAGGCGCGAAAGCUAGGGGAGCAAACGGG
RNAcentral lists this ribosomal RNA (253 nucleotides) under uncultured bacterium. RNAcentral describes it as "partial 16S ribosomal RNA". It matches the Rfam family "Bacterial small subunit ribosomal RNA", at positions 524 to 776 of the family's 1533-position model. The record is from RNAcentral.